This 334-nucleotide unclassified non-coding RNA is filed under the name soil metagenome. RNAcentral describes it as "partial contains 5.8S ribosomal RNA, internal transcribed spacer 2, and large subunit ribosomal RNA". The stretch from base 1 to 120 matches the Rfam family "5.8S ribosomal RNA", at positions 35 to 154 of the family's 154-position model. The record is from RNAcentral.
GAUGAAGAACGUAGCGAAAUGCAAUAAGUAAUGUGAAUUGCAGAAUUCAGUGAAUCAUCGAAUCUUUGAACGCACAUUGCGCCCCCCAGUAUUCUGGCGGGCAUGCCUGUUCGAGCGUCAUUUCAACCAUCAAGCCCUGCUUGUGUUGGGGUCCUGCGGCUGCCCGCAGGCCCUGAAAACCAGUGGCGGGCUCGCUAGUCACACCGAGCGCAGUAGCACAUCUCGCUCAGGGCGUGCGGCGGGCUCCAGCCGUUAAAGCACCCACCUUUCGCAAGGUUGACCUCGGAUCAGGUAGGAAUACCCGCUGAACUUAAGCAUAUCAAUAAGCGGAGGA